Molecule: long non-coding RNA, 4346 nt
Organism: Orcinus orca (killer whale)
Lineage: Eukaryota; Metazoa; Chordata; Mammalia; Artiodactyla; Delphinidae
Exons: 2
Source: RefSeq, a predicted model, not a curated record
AUCUAGGAGAAGACAUCUUGGUUAGUUUCACCUGUUCUUUUGAGAGGCUAAAACACAGUGAUGGGGGAACGCAUCACAGUCAGAAGUAUCAAUGAGAUUCAUAUGAGGGGUACAAAUCAGGGAAAUCUGCUGGCGUUCACAGUGGGGUGGUUGGGGGCUUAGUAAAGAGAACAUUGCACAAAGUGGAAUAAACAUUUUAAUCCAAAUUCUCUGAAACUUUAGGAUCUCAUGCCUCAGUCACCUGUAUUUUCUUUAACAUCUCUCACAGUGGCUAGGAUGUUAUUAGGUAAUGACACUUCCUCUCCUAUCAGGUUUUCGAAGACAUAUAUGAUGUGAAGAAAUAAUUAACAACAGUGAUGACGGGCCUGACUUGGCUACUGAAUGGACCACAAGGCUGAGUCCGUUCCUGGGGAGAUUUCCCUUUUCCACGCUUCAUCUUCAUAGAGUCAGAAUUCCAGAAUCACCAGCACUUGGUGUGGAAAGGGAUCUCAGGAGGUGAUGUGCUCAGAACUCACUGCCCUCAGUCAGCUCAGGUGUUAGGUGAGUUCCAGGCCCCCUGAUAGGGGGAACGAAAGAAGGAUCAGCAGGGCCAGAGCCAGUGCUUCUAAAUUCACUUAGAACCUUCAUGUGGGGAGAAAGGACCACCAACUAGUACUGAUUCUGUGCUAGCUAAAUGGAUACCCUAUUCCACAUAUGUGACCUUAUGUCUGCAAUAACUGAGUAGGGUGUAAUUGUUCCCUAUGGGCGGAUGAUGACUGUAUUGCUCAGAAAAUGUAAGGAAUUUACCCAUAUUCAUGCAACUAGUAAUGAAAGAACUGGGGUUAAAGUCCAGUCUGUGAUAGCGGAAGCCCACGCUCUUACACCCCUGCCCACUCUGUCUCAGGGCUUUGACCUUGGGAUUCUUGCUCUAUAUUUAUAUCUUAGAGGAGGGAUAGAGAACUGAGUAAGCGCAUGAACCAUUGAUUCAAAUGGGUUGGGUUGAAUCCGCAGAUAGAGCUGUCUGGCUUUGUACAAGGGACUUAAUUAAUUGUAGCUCACUGCCCUCAUCUGUAAAGUGAGGGAAAAAUAUUGUAUCACCUCCUAGGAGUAUUAGAAGCAGUAAACAGGAUAUGUAGGCAAGACACAGCACAACACCUUGUGUAUACAGAGCUCUCAGUUAGUGUCAGUUCAUGUAUUAGGUACCAGCAAGGGCUAAAACUUAAAAAAAAAAAUCUACAAACAACUUGAUACUACGUUUCCCUAGUCAUUAGAAACACAAGCCACACAAGUGGAGGAAAUCCACUGUUGAAAUAAUUCGGAACCUAUCACUGCACCCCCUAAUUUAGAGUCACGUCACACCAAAACCAGCAUUUACUGUGUUAAGGUGACUCCUAGGAAAUGAUGAUAGAUUUACUUAAACUAUCACUCAGUCUAUUUCUGCAGCAUCCAGACAUUCUGGUUUUUCUCCCUUAAACCAAGGAAGUUCAAAAGUUCAGUUUAUCCAGAGGAAAAAAAUGUGCUGCAGCCUGACAUAAAGGCAAACCUAGACAAAAACUUACCACUUCCUUUUUUCACGCAGGCAUGUGUAGUGACCUCUACAAGAAAUAAGAGCAAGUAUUAGUGAAUUGUUUAUAUCCAUUAUUUGACAGUGUGCAUCUCUGUGUGUGUCUCUGGAUAGACAGACUGAUAGAAUCUGCCAAGAGAGGAGAGAAUCAUUAAAAAUAAGAUGCCUACAAUCUGGGAAUAGAUGGUCUGGUUCAAUGUAAUUCAGUAGAUCUAGUGCAUAUACUGUUUUCUGUAUCUGAGGACGUUCAAGUUCAUGAAGGGUACAUUUUUGUUUUUCUUUAUUACAACUGGAGGGUAAUAUCCAAGACCAUCUUGGUUUCCUUCUGUGUUCGCAUCUCCUACACCCCAAAGCGUUCAGGAAAUACUGUCAAACGACAAAUCGUCAGAAAAAGCGGCUGCUCUACAUCUUCAGCGCCCACUGCUGACAUGAAGGGAUGCUCCCCAAACGGAUGCAUCCAAUCCCAAAAUCUACAACAGAAUCUCAUGUUUGAAGGAGUCUGGCUUAGGUAAAUUUCCCAUCAAAAAAAAAAAGAAGUGAAACCUUUCCAGAUCACACAUACCCCCAGUAUCCCCAACUCAUGUAUGUGAUUUUCUGCAGUUGUGGAGUUUGUGGACAUCAGGAUAACAAUAUAAAUGAGGCUAAUAGCUAGCGAGUGAUUAUUACUGUGCCAGGUACUUGCUUAAAUACUUCAUAUGCACUAUCUCCUUUAACUCCCCAGUGACACUGGAGUGAGUUGUAUUUGGGGGUAUUGCACGGUACAAAAGAGGAAUAAAGAUUAGAGGAUAAGUCAUAUCAGUGAUGACAGAGUGCAUUCAAAGGAUGGUCAUGGGGGAUUAAAUGAGAUAGAGUAGGUGGGAAGUACUUUGUAAAAAAUAAUCCAUAGAAAUAAAGAGAAAUUAAUCUAUAGAGAGACAACAUAAUUCCACCAUGGUGGACACUGAAAACAUCUUCUUUUCCAGAGAUCUUAAUUAUUCUUAACAAAUGAAAUAUUUAUUACAGGAGCUCAGCAUUUCAGUUCAAUUCUUUCCAGGAUAGAGAGAGAGACCAAAUCAUAUUUCUAGUUAAUAUGAAAACCUGAGGUGAAAGGUGUAUUUAUCUACAAUGAAAAAAAAAAGGCAAACAUUCAUACAAAAACAAAAUUUCUUUAAAAAAAUAAUAGACUGUUGGAUGGAGGAAAUCAGAGACACUGAGGUUGUUUGGUUUAUCCUUUUUCUCCUACAUUCAUACAAAAACAAAAUUUCUUUAAAAAAAUAAUAGACUGUUGGAUGGAGGAAAUCAGAGACACAGAGGUUGUUUGGUUUAUCCUUUUUCUCCUAGGUGUGUUUUUGUACAUAUGAUAUGGUUCUAGUUUAUGAUAUGGUUCAGGGAGAUCUUUAGUUGGUUUGCUCUAAAAAAAUGGCUUCAAGGUACAAGUAUCCCCUAUUUUUCAAAAGUUUACGCCACUUCGCUUUUACGAAAGACCUACAUUAGUACCUGUUUUUGCUAACAGAAAGAAAUCUGAAGAGGAUUUUCACUUUUACGAGAAAAGGUUAAAAGCAAAAAUAGCAUUUAGUGUUUGUUUUGCAGCCAGCCAUGAUAGAGGCAGCGGGCGCUCCAGCAACAAGAAGAGCAUCGCCAAGGGACUACACUCAGCAUUUCAGCAUCAAGCUGCCAUAGCUCUGAACUGUUAUCUCCCCAGGACAAAGCCAAGGCAAGUGCUCGGGUGUAAUUUGAUCAUUGGAUGAACUCACGAUCUGAGAAGAUAAAGACUUGCUUCAGAAAUUCAGACUGCUACACACCAAAAUCUCUGCACAGUUUUGUUUUAUGCUUGGUUGCCACUGCUUAAAAAGUUUUCCUAACCACAGAGAAAAGAAGUGAUAACAAAAUGGUUUCUUCUGAUGGGCACUCUGGGUCCUUUGGUCUGUUAGGUGAACACUCAGGUCAUUAAGUCCCGAGUCCAGUGAGUUACAGGACCACUGCCAGGGCCAAGGUACAGCCAGCCCUCUGCCCACACUGUGUGGAUAUGCACAACAUCUGCAUCAAAGGGUCUCCUUUGGGACAUCAUGCCUGAAUCAUGAGAGGCCCUGAGUGAUUAGGAAAAGUGUAUAUUCUCUUUACUGUACUACAUCCUUCUGGGACAGUAAUUCACCCGAGAGUGUUCAUCCACACAUCCCUCCAGGCCCGGCACGUGCUAGGGCUGCAAGAAAAGUUUCUUGAGAGGCGUUUACCAAUGGCAAGAAAUACAUUCAUUAUGUAAAAUGGGAGUAAGUCUGUACACUUUAGGCUCACCCAAUCUUCAAUUACAAAAUUUUAGCUUAAGUGGUAGGUAAAACACAAACCUCAAAAACCUAAGACCAUAAUAAACAUGCAGCAGUAAUUAUUCUACAUUUUGUUGAGCCAUGAUCUGGCUUCCUCAUACGAACACCAUUUUGUCAUUUAAUAACUCAUUAUCUCUGGGUUAUACUUUGAGUAAAGUAAGAGUGAAGGGAGAGGAACUCUGCUUGCUGAGUGGAACCUUCUUGAAAGAUGUGUGAUUGUUCUUAUUUCCUGAUCAAGUAAGGUCAUCAAAAAUGGAAUCUCUCUUUGUGCAUUUAUUGUGUGCUAAAUUGAUAGGUACUUUGACAUGCGUUGUUUCAUUUAAUCUAUACAGCAACCCUAAAAUACAUCAUUGUGACCUUUAUAUUUCAGAUGAUAAAACUGAGCUGAAAAAGCUUCAGUAAAUUUUUUUCUUUUUUAUGCUUCAAAGCCAAUACAAUUUUAAUUUUGUGGGGAAAUAGCAGGACAUUUAUGCUACCAUUAAAUGUAACAACAUUUAACAAUU